Non-coding RNA from Cinara cedri, 301 nucleotides. The record is from the annotation of a GenBank genome assembly. NCBI's taxonomy places the organism in Eukaryota, Metazoa, Arthropoda, Insecta, Hemiptera, Aphididae.
GGUGCCUACGUAGCUAAUUCGUUAUUCGAACCGCCCUGAAAUUGUCAUCGAAAAAUCCAAGCGCCUAAUCAAACAUUCUGUGCACGUCGUAGUGGUAAUACGGCGGUUCGGAUGGAUUCGUUUUAGACGAGAAAACGUAUACGCUCGGGGGGUUUUUUUUUUUGAUCGACACCGUUCCGGUUUGUAUUCGCUAUCAAAUUAAGCGAACCUCACUUAAAGUAACGUGUUCAAAUUAUAUACUUAUGCAUAUUAAUUUUAAACAUACACAUCUGAAAUAAGACAAUAAUUAAGUUGUUACUAU